GGCGGACGGGUGAGUAACGCGUAAAGAACUUGCCCUUUAGACUGGGAUAACAGAGGGAAACUUCUGAUAAUACUGGAUAAGUUAGUAUAUCGCAUGAUAUGCAAAUGAAAGCUACGGCACUAAAGGAGGGCUUUGCGUCCUAUUAGCUAGUUGGUAAGGUAAGAGCUUACCAAGGCGAUGAUAGGUAGCCGGCCUGAGAGGGUGGACGGCCACAGGGGGACUGAGAUACGGCCCUUACUCCUACGGGAGGCAGCAGUC
RNAcentral lists this ribosomal RNA (258 nucleotides) under uncultured Leptotrichia sp. Its description in RNAcentral is "partial 16S ribosomal RNA". It matches the Rfam family "Bacterial small subunit ribosomal RNA", at positions 97 to 355 of the family's 1533-position model. The record is from RNAcentral. Lineage: Bacteria; Fusobacteriati; Fusobacteriota; Fusobacteriia; Fusobacteriales; Leptotrichiaceae.